Long non-coding RNA from Linepithema humile (Argentine ant), 1466 nucleotides. RefSeq lists it as uncharacterized. The record is from RefSeq and is a predicted model, not a curated record. Lineage: Eukaryota; Metazoa; Arthropoda; Insecta; Hymenoptera; Formicidae.
CCAUCUUUCGGUCACUAUGACUUAUUACAGUUUGUCACGGCUUGUCAUUCGGAACGUGAAUGUGAAUGCUCCGCGAUUAACCGUGAUUAAUCGCGAUUAACUGCGAUUUACUUCGUCAAAGUGCAUAAUAAAUGCGAGUUUUUAUCGGGAGUAUCAACUAAAGUAACGGGCAAUUGUCAGAAUGUCUCACUUUUCGCGUACGUGACGCGAACAAUUUACCGGUAUUUCAUCAACCGCUUUGACGCGGGAAAGCAAAUUCAAAUUGCUGCAGUUUAGUAAGUACAAAUUUUCAUGCAACGGGCACGCGAAAAUGACCACUACGUCCGCUUAAAACAAUUAAAGCGCCAUAUUGAAAAAUUAGUUUAACGGAAUUAUAUCGGAUAAAACGUUGUCGCGUACGUGUCCGUAUCCGUUGGUUUUUGUGCGAUCGCCAAAAUAGUCUCGCUCUGAGUGCGCAUACAGUGUCGACCGUUACAUGUUGUGAUAUUCUGUACUAUAAAUAUGUGCGUGAACGCGACGCGGUGCGGAAUGAGUUUUAUAUAUCUCGCGUUUGCAUUUCGUAUACCACAGUGAAUUUACGGUUUUCGACGUUGUUUUGAAAGUGAAGUGCGCGAGUGUUACAAAGUGCGAGAGGAUUUCCAGAAAACAUUCAUCCAUUCUUCGUUAGAGCUGAUGCAAUCUGAAUAUGAACAGACCACGGCAGAAACUGCAGCGGCUGGAGCAGACUACAAUACCCUAGCUGGUGCAGCCGGAGAGCGUACUUAGCUAGGGUACAACACUGCGUUUUAUGCGAUGCUGAAACGCGCCAGUUAUCAAGAAACGUUCUACUACCGGCAGAGGCUAUCGCAAGGGACAGCCGGAUGUUUACGACAGAAGACACUUAUGGGAAGUACUUUCGAGCUCAUUGAAAUACAUAGUGUCCUUGGACUUCUGCAAAAUCACCUUUAAAUCAUAAAUUCUUCGAGACCAACUUUCUUGCAGCGAAGGUAAGUCGUUCUUUACUGCAAGCUUGCAAUUUUUAAUGUCAAAAAUCUUUAGCAAAUUAGAAAUUUUUUCAAAAAACUGAUUUUAAAUCGACUUCGCACAUAAAGAUUUAUAGAUAAAUGAUGAUAUAGUAAAUCUAGGACACUCCGUAUAUCUCUUGAUUAUGCGACGUGCUUAAACAAGUAUGUGCGUCCAUCUCAAUUCACAUUCGUGAAUGUGGAAUCUUCUUAAAUCGAUAAGCAUACGCGAAAAGAUUUAUAUUUGUAGGGCGGUUGGGUUUUUGAAACCGAAAUAAACUCGUUGAUUACAAAAGGAAGACAGGUCGCGAGGUCAUCUUGCUAUCUAAUCAUACUGGAUAAAAACUGUUCUGGUUACCAGAGAAAUGAAUGGGACAAACGAUGUUUCAUUCAUCUAAGAGAAAAAGAAUUUUGUUACGCUGUUCUUCUACAUGCGGAAUACAUAAUGUUAAAACAAUGUUAACA